This 730-nucleotide long non-coding RNA is filed under the name Malus domestica (apple). RNAcentral describes it as "long non-coding RNA (MDOM_LNC001702)". The record is from RNAcentral. Lineage: Eukaryota; Viridiplantae; Streptophyta; Magnoliopsida; Rosales; Rosaceae.
ACAAACUUUUGGGUCACUUUGUAAAAACACAAAAGUCCACUACUUCAUAUAAUUACAACUAGAACCCAAAAUUUCAUCAAAAUACAAAAACUUCAUUAAAGGAGCAAAACAUUUUGUCCUUUAGUGUUUUUGGGCCUUUACGUAAAAAUGUAAAUUUUCGGGUCAAAGUACAAAUACACAAAAGUAUCAAAACUUUAUGUAAUUGCAUAAAAGCCCCAAAAGUACCAUAUUUAAUAGGGUGGCCGGUUUUGGAUGAGAGAAAGUGUCAUAAAACUUUUGAAUUUUUCAACAAAAGUGAAAGGUGAUGGGUAGUGAUUUCCAUAAAACAUGAUUCCUUGGAACAAGGAAAAGAUGUAAGUGAUUGGUAUGGUGUGAAUAGUAGAAAAGGUAUGGGUAUUGAUUGAAAAUUCAAACCAUCUAUCACUAACAAAAACUUUAUGUAAACAACCAAAAACUUUGAAUCAAAAUACCCAACCUUUUUGUUCUUACCAAAAACAUAACAAGAACAAUGAAGAACAUCCAUGAACAUUUUUCACCCAAAGACACCCAAAAAACUCUCAAACUUAAGGGAAAAAACAUAUUACCAUACUAGGGUAUUUAGGGGUUCCUAUUGUUACUUUAAAACACUUUUAACAAGACAAACAUGAACCCAAAAAACCACGCUUUGGAUUUGGCCGAAUUUCCCCAAAAACAUGGCACCAAAUUUUAGCUCCAAAAUUCAUGCUCAUAU